RNAcentral lists this ribosomal RNA (257 nucleotides) under uncultured Pseudomonas sp. Its description in RNAcentral is "partial 16S ribosomal RNA". It matches the Rfam family "Bacterial small subunit ribosomal RNA", at positions 96 to 354 of the family's 1533-position model. Lineage: Bacteria; Pseudomonadati; Pseudomonadota; Gammaproteobacteria; Pseudomonadales; Pseudomonadaceae. The record is from RNAcentral.
CGGCGGACGGGUGAGUAAUGCCUAGGAAUCUGCCUGGUAGUGGGGGACAACGUUUCGAAAGGAACGCUAAUACCGCAUACGUCCUACGGGAGAAAGCAGGGGACCUUCGGGCCUUGCGCUAUCAGAUGAGCCUAGGUCGGAUUAGCUAGUUGGCGGGGUAAAGGCCCACCAAGGCGACGAUCCGUAGCUGGUCUGAGAGGAUGAUCAGCCACACUGGAACUGAGACACGGUCCAGACUCCUACGGGAGGCAGCAGGU